AUACGUAGGGUGCAAGCGUUAAUCGGAAUUACUGGGCGUAAAGCGUGCGCAGGCGGUUUUGUAAGACAGAGGUGAAAUCCCCGGGCUCAACCUGGGAACUGCCUUUGUGACUGCAAGGCUAGAGUACGGCAGAGGGGGAUGGAAUUCCGCGUGUAGCAGUGAAAUGCGUAGAUAUGCGGAGGAACACCGAUGGCGAAGGCAAUCCCCGGGGCCUGUACUGACGCUCAUGCACGAAAGCGUGGGGAGCAAACAGGAGUAGAUGCCCUGGUAGUCCACGCCCUAAACGAUGUCAACUGGUUGUUGGGUCUUCAUUGACUCAGUAACGAAGCUAACGCGUGAAGUUGACCGCCUGGGGAGUACGGCCGCAAGGUUGAAACUCAAAUGAAUUGGCGGGG
RNAcentral lists this ribosomal RNA (395 nucleotides) under uncultured bacterium. RNAcentral describes it as "partial 16S ribosomal RNA". It matches the Rfam family "Bacterial small subunit ribosomal RNA", at positions 523 to 918 of the family's 1533-position model. The record is from RNAcentral.